ACCAUGCAAGUCGAACGGUGAAGGUGGAGCUUGCUCUGCUGGAUCAGUGGCGAACGGGUGAGUAACACGUGAGUAACCUGCCCCUCACUUCGGGAUAACCUCGGGAAAUCGUGGCUAAUACCGGAUACGAGGCACCUUCGCAUGGGGUGUGCCUGGAAAGAUUUAUCGGUGGGGGAUGGACUCGCGGCCUAUCAGCUUGUUGGUGGGGUAAUGGCCCACCAAGGCGACGACGGGUAGCCGGCCUGAGAGGGCGACCGGCCACACUGGGACUGAGAUACGGCCCAGACUCCUACGGGAGGCAGCAGUGGGGAAUAUUGCACAAUGGGCGCAAGCCUGAUGCAGCGACGCCGCGUGGGGGAUGAAGGCCUUCGGGUUGUAAACCCCUUUCAGCAGGGAAGAAGCGAGAGUGACGGUACCUGCAGAAGAAGCGCCGGCUAACUACGUGCCAGCAGCCGCGGUAAUACGUAGGGCGCAAGCGUUGUCCGGAAUUAUUGGGCGUAAAGAGCUCGUAGGCGGUUUGUCGCGUCUGGUGUGAAAACUCAAGGCUCAACCUUGAGCUUGCACCGGGUACGGGCAGACUAGAGUGCGGUAGGGGUGACUGGAAUUCCUGGUGUAGCGGUGGAAUGCGCAGAUAUCAGGAGGAACACCGAUGGCGAAGGCAGGUCACUGGGCCGCAACUGACGCUGAGGAGCGAAAGCAUGGGGAGCGAACAGGAUUAGAUACCCUGGUAGUCCAUGCCGUAAACGUUGGGCACUAGGUGUGGGGCUCAUUCCACGAGUUCCGUGCCGCAGCAAACGCA
RNAcentral lists this ribosomal RNA (799 nucleotides) under Sanguibacter sp. B14-PCA-PT2P21. Its description in RNAcentral is "bacterial SSU rRNA". It matches the Rfam family "Bacterial small subunit ribosomal RNA", at positions 53 to 859 of the family's 1533-position model. Lineage: Bacteria; Bacillati; Actinomycetota; Actinomycetes; Micrococcales; Sanguibacteraceae. The record is from RNAcentral.